This 630-nucleotide ribosomal RNA is filed under the name Methylobacterium oryzae. Its description in RNAcentral is "bacterial SSU rRNA". It matches the Rfam family "Bacterial small subunit ribosomal RNA", at positions 15 to 691 of the family's 1533-position model. The record is from RNAcentral. Lineage: Bacteria; Pseudomonadati; Pseudomonadota; Alphaproteobacteria; Hyphomicrobiales; Methylobacteriaceae.
GUUCCUGGCUCAGAGCGAACGCUGGCGGCAGGCUUAACACAUGCAAGUCGAGCGGACCUUUCGGGGUCAGCGGCGGACGGGUGAGUAACGCGUGGGAACGUGCCUUCCGGUUCGGAAUAACCCUGGGAAACUAGGGCUAAUACCGGAUACGCCCUUAUGGGGAAAGGUUUACUGCCGGAAGAUCGGCCCGCGUCUGAUUAGCUAGUUGGUGGGGUAACGGCCUACCAAGGCGACGAUCAGUAGCUGGUCUGAGAGGAUGAUCAGCCACACUGGGACUGAGACACGGCCCAGACUCCUACGGGAGGCAGCAGUGGGGAAUAUUGGACAAUGGGCGCAAGCCUGAUCCAGCCAUGCCGCGUGAGUGAUGAAGGCCUUAGGGUUGUAAAGCUCUUUUAUCCGGGACGAUAAUGACGGUACCGGAGGAAUAAGCCCCGGCUAACUUCGUGCCAGCAGCCGCGGUAAUACGAAGGGGGCUAGCGUUGCUCGGAAUCACUGGGCGUAAAGGGCGCGUAGGCGGCGUUUUAAGUCGGGGGUGAAAGCCUGUGGCUCAACCACAGAAUGGCCUUCGAUACUGGGACGCUUGAGUAUGGUAGAGGUUGGUGGAACUGCGAGUGUAGAGGUGAAAUUGGA